AGUGAACGCUGGCGGUAGGCCUAACACAUGCAAGUCGAACGGCAGCACAGUAAGAGCUUGCUCUUACGGGUGGCGAGUGGCGGACGGGUGAGGAAUACAUCGGAAUCUACUUUUUCGUGGGGGAUAACGUAGGGAAACUUGCGCUAAUACCGCAUACGACCUACGGGUGAAAGCAGGGGAUCUUCGGACCUUGCGCGACUGAAUGAGCCGAUGUCGGAUUAGCUAGUUGGCGGGGUAAAGGCCCACCAAGGCGACGAUCCGUAGCUGGUCUGAGAGGAUGAUCAGCCACACUGGAACUGAGACACGGUCCAGACUCCUACGGGAGGCAGCAGUGGGGAAUAUUGGACAAUGGGCGCAAGCCUGAUCCAGCCAUACCGCGUGGGUGAAGAAGGCCUUCGGGUUGUAAAGCCCUUUUGUUGGGAAAGAAAAGCAGCAGGUUAAUACCCCGCUGUUCUGACGGUACCCAAAGAAUAAGCACCGGCUAACUUCGUG
This 492-nucleotide ribosomal RNA is filed under the name uncultured bacterium. RNAcentral describes it as "partial 16S ribosomal RNA". It matches the Rfam family "Bacterial small subunit ribosomal RNA", at positions 29 to 507 of the family's 1533-position model. The record is from RNAcentral.